This 156-nucleotide non-coding RNA is filed under the name unclassified sequences. RNAcentral's name for it is "RT-16 RNA". It matches the Rfam family "RT-16 RNA". Rfam says of the family: candidate division DUSEL4 (Archaea). Nearby to self-splicing intron genes The record is from Rfam by way of RNAcentral.
UCUUAGUUUGACCAUGGUUUAGCUAGGGCCACACGCCUUUUGCUUAUGCUCCUAGGGCGUCAAAUGCAAACACGACAUUAAGUAAAAAUUAGCUAUUAAGCAAAUUUGAAAUAUGAAGUGUUGGUGGUUUUACUUUCAAGCAGAAGGCUACAUAGU